GAAGCCAAGAAUUGUUGGAGUUGGAGCACUAGAAGAAAAAUGAUCAAGAGUGUAACAUUUAGCAUUGGUCAUGACAAAGACGAGACCCUAGGGCAGGAGAGUGGGAGAGAAGGGUGGGCUAGGAUGAUCUGACUGUAGUAGGAGAUGAAGAUGGAGGAACUGAGAGGAAGGCGGGCAUCAGAAGGAUAAUGUACACUAAUGUUGGAAUCUCCAAAAACACAAGCUGAGUUGUUCUGGAGAAAGAAACAGUGAACCAGAUGCUAAAAUUUUUAAGGUCUUGGCUCCCCCCCCCCCAUAUUUUUAAUUUAAAAAGUUUAUUUCAGUUUUGAGGCACUGGGUAUUGAAUCCAGGGACUUGUGCACGUUAGCAAGCACUCUACCACUGAGCUACAUCCCUAGUUCUUUUUAUUUUUUGUUUUGAAACAGGAUCUUUCUAAGUUGCUUAGGUUGACCUCAAAUUUGUAUUUGUUCUGACUUAGUUACCCAAGUAGUUGGUAUCACAAGCAUGUGCCAGUAUUCAUGUAUUUAUAUAUCCCAAAAUGCUCAAUGAAGUCUUGUCUCAAAUAGAAAAGCAAAAGAAUCCAUUUAAAUAACCUUCAAUAAAAGGUUGACUUCAUUAUGGCAUGUCUAUAUAAUGGAAUAAUAUAAAAUAAGGCUAAUUCAUACACAGUGACUAGGAUAUAUGUUACAUAUGUUUUUAAGUGAAGAGAUUAGGUCACAAAUCAAUAUAAAGAGUUAAAUUUAUUUAAAAAUACAUGAUACUUACAGGGAUCUGAUGCUUCAUGCAUAAAGGAUCAUGUAUCCAGCAGAAAUUCUCAGGGUUUGGAGUUGGCAAAACUCUAAGGUCUCCAGGUAAGGCAGAACAAUAUGGAGGAAGAAUGUGGCAGAGGAAGAAGUUCAUAUGAUGAUUGGGAAGCAGAAAGAUGCUCCACUUGCCAGAUACAAAUAUGUACCCCAAAGGCAUGCUCCCAAUGCCACACCUCCUCCAGCCACAUCCUACCUGCCUUCAAUCACGACUCAAUUAAUCCCAAUCAUUUUCUCUCUGAACCCUCUUGCAAUGUCUCACAUGUAAGCUUUGGGGGGACUCUUCACAUCCAAACCAUAACAAUCUGGCUUUUUUUUUUUUUUUUAAAGAAAUUUGUUUCUUUUCUUUCUUUCUUUUUUUUUUUUUUUUGAAAUUCAAGACAUACACCUCUUUUGGAUCUGUAUGUUGCAAAUGCUUUCUCUCACUCUGUGGCUUGCUUUUUAUAUCCUGUUAAUGGUGGUCUUUGACAAAAACUCCAGUACAGUCAUAUUUAUCAAUA
This is a long non-coding RNA of Marmota monax (woodchuck), 1303 nucleotides long. RefSeq lists it as uncharacterized. The record is from RefSeq and is a predicted model, not a curated record. The transcript is spliced from 2 exons. NCBI's taxonomy places the organism in Eukaryota, Metazoa, Chordata, Mammalia, Rodentia, Sciuridae.